Long non-coding RNA from Carassius auratus (goldfish), 2566 nucleotides. The record is from Ensembl. NCBI's taxonomy places the organism in Eukaryota, Metazoa, Chordata, Actinopteri, Cypriniformes, Cyprinidae.
UGUAAUUUGUUCAUUUAAAACUGUAUUUAAUUCAUGUUUCUAUAUGUGUUUAGAGUGCCCAGCUGACUCAGAUUGUAAACAGCCUGAUGCCAUUUUUGUCUGCCUCUCCUUCUUCAUCGCCUAUGCCUAAAGUACCUUGUAAUCGCUGGAGAGGUCAACAGAAAACAGCUUACAGUGGGUGAGAGAUAAACAAGCACAUUCAAGCCUUACAAGUUCAUCAACAGGCAAAAACAAACCUCAAAAAUCUCAUAGGGUCAUUCAAUAAAAAUGUCCAAGAAUAGCAGUUGUGAUUAAUUUACAAAAUUGUUAUUGAAGCACUGGUUGCUAUAGAUUUUUUUGUUCAAGAAAGGAGAUUGUUGAAGGAUACUCACAUUAGAUAUUCACACUUUUUGACGCAGUAUAGGUAAUUUCAUUUAUUCUUACGUAAACUCCAGAGACACCUUAGUAGAAGCAGUCCGUCUUGAUUUCAUUCAUGCAUUUCAUAUUCAUUGCAGAACUGUAGAAGUCCCCUCAUUCUGAUACAUAAUUUUGUAAAAUAAUUUAAAUCUUAUGUGAAUGUCAGGAUGAAUCAUUCAGCCCAGCGGUAAACGGAAAAAGUGAGAAAGACAUUGAGAAGAAUUAGAAAGACGGAAGAUGAAAAAGUCUGAUUGGAGAAGAGAACCGGUGAAACUUGCUCUUUUUAUUUGUUGUAUGAUCAUUUUAUCCCUACUUUUGCAUCCAAGUGUCACACACGGGUGUCUUUGUUCCCAGUGGACCACAGUGUUUAUACAAGGCCAAGCAGAAUAGGAAGCGAACGUGUCACAGACGACAGUACGUCACCUGUACGUCAGCCCGGACACGACCCCUUCUGACCAAUCACAAGCCUAGACUUUUUGUCAUGGACCCACUGUCUCAUAGAGAACAGGUUUCGGAGUCUUCCCCUUCUCUUUGUCCCAAAUGUGCAUCCUGUGAUCCUGCAUCAGUGUGCACAGAUCCUUUGUGUCUCCACAGAAAAGACAGAACAGACCGCAAAAUGUAUCCCGUGCUAUCACUCUCCUCAGGUAGAGAGAUGCAUUAUUUUUAAAAUAGGCAUUUUUCUUCUUCCAUCUACCAUCUUUGUACUUACCUUCUCAACAACGGAUACAUGUGACACUCUUUUAAUUGCUCUAAAAAUGUUACCUACUGUAUGUAGGCAGAUCACUAGGUUUUGGAGCAAAGCUUAUUUAAGCAGUAAAAGAGUGUUCAUACUCUUACUGAGGUCAUUGGAUGGUUAAUACUACAGCAAUCCAUUAAUCGCUCAUACGUUUCACUGAAUUAGCUUGCCAUUUCAAUUUCAACUUUUGCUUUGCCGUUGUUUUCUUUUGUUUGUGUAAUAUAACUGAGGGUUUCCACAAAAAUAAAGCAGCACAACUGAUUUCAGCAUUGAUAUUAAUAAAAAAUGUUUCUUGAGCAACAAAUCAGCAUAUUAGAGUGAUUUGUGAAGGGUCAUGUGACAUUAAAGAUUGCUGUAAAUUCAGCUUUGUCAUAACAGGAAUAAAUUACAUUAUACAGUACUAAAAUGGAAAACAGUUGUUUUAAUUUGUAAUAAUAUUUUACAAUGUUACUAUUUUGCUGUAUUUUUGCAAAUAAAUGCAUCCUUGGUGAGUAUAAGAGACUUCUUUAAAACUAAAAAAAAAUCCAUCUCCAGACUCCAAAUUUUUUGAGCUGAACCUAAUUUAUUUUUAUUUUACAUCACAAUCGGUAUGUUUGUCCAAAAUCAUUUAGGCUCUACUGUUCUCAGUCCUUUUUAAAACACAGUGAUGCUCAUGUUCAGUGCAGAUCUGAAGGUCAUGUUGAAGUCAAUAGCUGCUGUACAGUUUUAAUGCAAUCCCUGGCACUGGACUCUGACUCAUCCGUCCCAAUCAUUAAUGGUCUGGAACUCUUCUCUGCUCUGCUGGUUACUUUCUGACUAGGGGGGCUAAUGAUCCUGAAGCAGCAAUGCUAUUCGUAACAGAGAGAGAGAGAUUGGCAGGGCAAGUGAGCGAUUUCAGUGGAAUGGUUUCUAAUGCAAAAACACACCUCAUGCUGUUAAGUUGAUUUUCUGUCAGUGCUUUGCGGCACCUCUGGAGUCAGUGAACGAACUACAAAAAAAUAACUACAAAAGCGAAUAGAAAAUGAAUGCCAGGAACUUUUCAUUAAAUCACCUGGAUGUGUAGGAUCUUUUAAUGUCAGUUCUUCUGGAGUCCAGUGUGUGUGAUGAUGUAAGGUGUGUGUAGGCUGCUGGGUGGGUUUUGUCAUAGUCUUGUGGUGUAUCCACAGUCCUACAGCUUACUAAAUCGAGAGAACGAAUUAGUAAAUUAUGUGCACGAUUUAGCAAAUCGAGGGAACCAAAUAGUAAUUGUGUGCAUGUUUUAGUACAUCAAGGGAAUUAAUUAGUAAAUCAUGUGCACUUUUUCGGACAUCGAGGGAACGAAUUAGUAAAUUGUGCGCAUGAUUUCUAUAUUUUUUCUUGAAUGUCAUGUGCUGGGUUCCGUAAUUUCAUAGUUGUACUUAAAAUAAAAAUAAUAAACUGUGAUUCUCAGUAGAUUCAUAUGACUAGUUUUUUUGU